GAUGAACGCUGGCGGCGUGCCUAAUACAUGCAAGUCGAACGAAUCACUUCGGUGGUUAGUGGCGAACGGGUGAGUAAUACGUAAGCAACCUGCCUAUGGGACUGGGAUAACGUUUGGAAACGGACGCUAAUACCGGAUAGGUAGAGAGGAGGCAUCUCUUCUCUAUUAAAGUUUAGAUACACCGAUAGAUGGGCUUACGGCGCAUUAGCUAGUUGGUGAGGUAACGGCUCACCAAGGCGAUGAUGCGUAGCCGGACUGAGAGGUUGAACGGCCACAUUGGGACUGAGACACGGCCCAAACUCCUACGGGAGGCAGCAGUAGGGAAUUUUCGGCAAUGGGGGAAACCCUGACUGAGCAACGCCGCGUGAGUGAAGACGGCCUC
Molecule: ribosomal RNA, 382 nt
Filed under: uncultured bacterium
Lineage: Bacteria
Description: bacterial SSU rRNA
Rfam family: Bacterial small subunit ribosomal RNA
Source: RNAcentral